This is an RNA transcript of Alosa alosa (allis shad), 1365 nucleotides long. It is a transcript of the gene named alveolar macrophage chemotactic factor-like, with no coding region annotated. The transcript has 5 exons. NCBI's taxonomy places the organism in Eukaryota, Metazoa, Chordata, Actinopteri, Clupeiformes, Clupeidae. The record is from RefSeq and is a predicted model, not a curated record.
GGGCUGGGAGGAAGUCCAUGUACGACAAAAUUCGCUGGAAGAGGGGGCUGGAGCCACCCACCCCAUCCUUCGUGUACUGUAGCCUAUAAAUGGGUUGUCUCUAUUCCACUCAGACUCGUUCAACCGGGACUCGGGAGAGAAAGAAAACAGUGCAGAUUUAAGGUCAUUAGCUCUCACCGUUUGACGGACGAAUCAUGAAUGCCAUAUUUACGGUGUCAUUUUUUCUUCUUGUCGCCUUAGCGGCACUGGGAACAGAAUCCGAAUCAGUGUAACCUACAGUACGGCCUCUCGGUGCUGAUUGCUACGCUACCAUAUCAAGAAACCACCGUUGCAAAUGUAUUCAAAAUGCCCCGGAUAAUAAAUGUGCAACCAUUAAGGCGAAGAUGGUAAAGAGGAUUGAGCGUUUCCCAGCUGGGCCCUUCUGCAAUAAAGAGGAAGUCAUCAUUCAUUUCCAGAGAGGAAAAACACUAUGUGUUGAUCCUACAGCAAAAUCAAUUAUAAAACUGGAAGAAAUCAUCAGGCUGAGGGUAGCUGCCAACAUCAGCCCCACUAGCACCCCGGAGACCAUGACUACUGCAGACAACUGAUGCCCUGUCAAAACGAGGUUGAGGAGAAACCUAGGAGGGAGAAGAAUGCAUGCUUCACACUCCAAGUCAGACUCUUGGUGUUGAGGUCUCUGAUCGCCAACCAGUCAAAAUUAGGUGCAGAGAGAUGUGGUGGGAUACAGUUCAAGACUAUUUCUGUAUGCAGAUGAGAAUCAAAAGUUUGUUGAUGUUAUUGAUGGAAGAACAAGUUUGUUGAUGUUAUUGAUGGAAGAAGAUUUUGCACUUUUGCCAUUUUUUGCAAUGAAAAUGUUUUUCAGGGGUAAUUAACUAUCUCUAUGUAUACCAAUUUCACAAUAAACACAAUAAAUGCAGUAAUGCACAAAUUUAAAUUGAUUAUUUAAUUGCAAGAAAAAUGUUAUGUUAAAUAGUUUUGGUUGUUGGAUAGGCUACUGUAUGUGAAACACAUCACGUGAUUAAUACACAUGCUAUAUGAUUAUUUCAUGAUACAUUUCAAUUAAUUAAUCAAGCUUGUAAUUAAUUAAAUUAUUUUUAAAGUGCUUAUAAUAAUACUGAUAAUAAUAACAAUUAUUUUCUUUUUUUUUUAUUCAAUAAAAUGCCUUCAUGGGAUGGUUAUAGUUAUGAGAUGAUUAUGCAAACUGCAGUACACGGUAAAUGUGAAUACAUUUUUUAAAUAUUUUAUAUAUUUGUAUAUGUAUUUUUGUAGUUGUUGACAUCUUUGUCAUUCAGUCUUUGUGUCAGUCUGUUACAUCAUCAAAAUGUGAAUUAUGACUAUUUAUUAAAUAUGUCUAUUUUUAAACAA